This 75-nucleotide transfer RNA is filed under the name Bacteroidales bacterium. RNAcentral describes it as "tRNA-Asn". It matches the Rfam family "tRNA". From Rfam's summary of the family: Transfer RNA (tRNA) molecules are approximately 80 nucleotides in length. Lineage: Bacteria; Pseudomonadati; Bacteroidota; Bacteroidia; Bacteroidales. The record is from RNAcentral.
GGGAGUGUAGCUCAGUAGGUUCAGAGCAACGGACUGUUAAUCCGUGGGUCGUGGGUUCGAGCCCCUCCACUCCCG